UCUUCUACAGUCUCCCCAGGCGGGGAGGGGCUGGCUGGGGGUGGGAUAGAUGCCCCCCGAGUUGUAUUUAUAUCUCAGAAGAUGCCACGGAUGCCAGAGGCACAGGCUGGAGUCAGGCGGUCCCCAUGUGCCGCUGUCACUAACACAGCCCCUCCUCCCCCUCCCCUCACCCUCUCCUUUCCUACCUUCCCCUGUCAUUAGGAGGAGGAACCAGAGUCAAUUCUGGGAAGGGGUUGGGGCCAGAGGGCCUGGACCCCAACUUCCCCAUCUCCCCUAUGGACCUGCGAAGACUGGAGGUGCAGCCCCUGGAACCCCAGGGUCCUUUUACCUACCCUCUGCUCCCAAGCCAAUGCCCUUCUCUGGGCAAGACCCAGGCGUCCGGCUGCCCAGCCCUGGGGUGUGUAGGAGGAAAAUGUGAGACUUGGAAAUCAGGCAGUAGAAGUGGAGAGAGGCCCUGGAGGAUGGUGAAAACAGACUGUUCCCCGGGGCCUGGGCCUGCCCUCACCCUGGGCUCUGGUGGGACCUUCCCAUCCUGGCUGGAUCUCUGUCUCAGCCUCUUAACACCUUUCCCAUACGCCAUCCCUCAAGUCUGGAUUCAGAUCUCGGUCUGCUGGGUCUUAGUUCUGGACACGGUGCCUCAUCUCCCCCUGAGAUGAGAAGGUUGCCUUUGCUGGGGGUCCUCUGUAAUGGGGUGGUGUGAGGGAAGGUCCUGGGUAAUCUUCCUGCCUCUGGCUCUGCCUCUAUCACUUCUGGGUCCUUAGCCUCCAAGGCCUCAGUGCAGCUGGCAGCCCUCUGGGCUUUCUCCUCAAGUCUCCCAUGAGGACCGCAUCUGGCAGCCAGGGCAACUGACCCAGUGUCCCUGCCAGCCUUGGCCUCUGCUCUCCUCUCAUAUCUGCCUCUGGCAUUGCUUCUCAGUCUGUUCCUCUGCUCUAUGACUGCUUGUUCUUUUGGUUUUAGUUUUAGGUCUGUCCCCCUCUGUCUUUCUGUCUCACAUCUUGGCGUUCUCUAUCUCUGUUGGAUUCCGGCCCCUUUCAGCUCUCAGCACCCCCAGUACCAACCCUUUUCUUGAUAUUUGGAUCCCUUCAUCAGCCUUUCUUACCAGGAGUCCCCAAGUCUGAGAUUAUGAUAGAGAUCACAAAAUCAGGGGUGUGUGAGACAGGGGGAUGGGAUGGGAGACAGGAUGGGUGGGGGAGGGGUGAAGGGGUGGUGUCCAAGAGGAAUAGGAAUGGGAACACCAGAGGGAUGGGCUCCAAGGGACUGAGGUGAGGGUGGCUGGACCAGAGGAUGAGGACAGAGGAGGGAGAAGAAAGGGUCCAUAAGAACAGGAGGGGAGGCCGGAGAGAGAGUUCCUGGAGUGAAGGGGGGUGGGGUGCCAGCCUGGGUUACCCUGGGGACAGGAAAUGUUUACUGCCUGUGGCUUCCUGUCUGUUUCCAACCUCUCACUUCUCCGUUUGUCUCCCACCCGCCUGCUGGGCCCCACCCCUCUCACUUAGGCGGUACAGCUAGUUGGGGGUGGGUGGGAGCUGCCUACUCAGAGGCACAGUGAUCCGGUUGCCUGCCAGGCCUAGUAGGUGAGGUUGGUGUUGGGGAGAGGUUGCCUUGCCUGGGGCUGGGGGAGGAGAGAGGGGUGCAACCCUCCAUAGCAGAGGCAGCCCCAGAAAACAGCAGUGGUACAGGAGUUCUGGGGUCGGGCACUAGCUCAGUGGAGACUUGGGAAUACCUGCUUCCUCUGGGUGAAGAGGUUGUGAUGGUUACCUCAAAGUCUUCUGGAGCUCUGAUACUCUUCCAGGCCUUGGCCAAGGGACCCUACUCCCACUCUUGAUUCUCCCACCACUUCCCUGGGUGGGGGAAGCAAAGCCUGAGUGUUCCUGGGUUGGCCUGAGGAAGUUUGUGGCGGGGCGGGAAGGUGUGAGAGGGGCCUUACAAGGUUUAUAAAUCCCACAGGCUUGUGCGACAGGGGCCUAGGCUGUGGCCGAGUGAAGGUUCAAGGGAUCUGGCACGCAGGCGAUGGACACAGAUCCCGACCCAGACCUGCCCUGUGCCUCCUGUGGCUUACAACUGAAGAUGCAGUGGUCCUUCCUUCCCAGCUCCUCCAAGUCCAGUCAAUAGUGCCCUCCCCCACUGCCGAGCAAGGCACCCGGUGUCUGGGGUGGCACCUCACACAGCUUAUCCUUAUUCUCCCACUCCAAGUUCCUGCUUCCUAAAUCCUACAGCAGAUGGAUCCUACUAGGGGUCCAAGAAGGAGAAGAUCAGGUUCCAGGAUUGAAGUCUUGAGUAGCUCACCCCAGGUCACACAAAGAACAAGUAAGAGGUGGGGCCUGGACGCACACCCAGCUCAACCUGACUUAAAGCCUGGCCCUUCCCUACCGUGGAACUCCUCUGUGGAACUUCUCUCGGUGCUUACCCUGCCCUCUGAUGCUGUUUCAGUUUCCACCAAGAGAGGUGAGGGAGGGGGCCAAGAACACCGAGGCCCUCCCUCUCCAGCCAUGGUCCCAGGUCCUCCAGACAAAGGAGAAAUCUGUCCCUGUACCCAAGUGGAAUUACCUACAUUAACCCCUUUUCUCCAAAGGGAAAGGAAAUGAGUAGAUACCAGCUAACUGUAUGUGUAAAAACAGUUCACCUCUGA
Dama dama (fallow deer) is the source of this 2626-nucleotide long non-coding RNA. RefSeq lists it as uncharacterized. The transcript is spliced from 3 exons. NCBI's taxonomy places the organism in Eukaryota, Metazoa, Chordata, Mammalia, Artiodactyla, Cervidae. The record is from RefSeq and is a predicted model, not a curated record.